CCUACGGGCGGCAGCAGUGAGGAAUAUUGGUCAAUGGGCUUACGCCUGCACCAGCCAAGUCGCGUGAGGGAAGACUGCCCUAUGGGUUGUAAACCUCUUUUGUCAGGGAGCAACGCCGGCUACGUGUAGCCGGACUGAGAGUACCUGAAGAAAAAGCAUCGGCUAACUCCGUGCCAGCAGCCGCGGUAAUACGGAGGAUGCGAGCGUUAUCCGGAAUUACUGGGUGUAAAGGGAGCGUAGGCGGGAUAGCAAGUAGAAGGUUUAAGGUACGGGCUCAACCUGUACAAGCGUCCAAAACUGUCUUUCUUGAGUGGGGUAGAGGUAUGCGGAAGGCCUGGUGUAGCGGGGAAAUGCGUAAAUAUUAGGAGGAACACC
Molecule: ribosomal RNA, 375 nt
Filed under: uncultured bacterium
Lineage: Bacteria
Description: partial 16S ribosomal RNA
Rfam family: Bacterial small subunit ribosomal RNA
Source: RNAcentral